CCCUUAGAUGUUCUGGGCCGCACGCGCGCUACACUGACGAAGUCAGCGAGCAUGUCCUACGCCGACAGGUGCGGGGAAUCUUGUCAAACUUCGUCGUGAUGGGGAUUGAUUAUUGAAAUUCUUGAUCAUCAACGAGGAAUUCCUAGUAAGCGCAAGUCAGCAGCUUGCGUUGAUUACGUCCCUGCCCUUUGUACACACCGCCCGUCGCUACUACCGAUUGAAUGUUCCGGUGAGCUCUUCGGACUGCGCGGUCUGCAGUUUCUGCGUUCCGUGCGGAAAGUUGCGCAAACCUUAACAUUUAGAGGAAGGAGAAGUCGUAACA
This 322-nucleotide ribosomal RNA is filed under the name uncultured eukaryote. RNAcentral's name for it is "partial 18S ribosomal RNA". It matches the Rfam family "Eukaryotic small subunit ribosomal RNA", at positions 1470 to 1796 of the family's 1831-position model. The record is from RNAcentral.